AGCAGCUGCGCAUAAGCCAGAAGUGGGGUCCCCUGGCAAAGCCUUGCAGCUGGGACUUUCCUCUGUGAGCACCCCUUGCAUGCUGCAUACAACGCACACCUGCCAGGGGACACAGUGUGACAUACACUCCUCCACCAAGCCUCCAUAUUCCUGCCUGGAGAGGCAGUGCUGCAGGGGCACACUGGGCUAUUCCUUCCAACACUGUUAAAUUGUAGUAUUUGGAGAACAGCAGUAAACACUAACAGGUCAUACCAAACACUGUGACACCACAUAACUUUGAACAUCAUCCACAGAUCAGUACAGGGCAUGUGACAUCCAGUUACUGAGUUUUUUUUUACUGAAGGCCGUAGAAUUAACAUGAUUCACAUUAAUUAUGGAUCUGAGGGUUUGUUUUUCUUCUUUCCAUUUCAAUUAUCAGAAAAUGGUGUUUCAGCUGCCACCAUGAGGAUAGCAGCAACACUAGUCACAAUGGAAAGUGCAGCAACAACUGCAGAGCAGCAAGGUCCUAGGCUCCAACAAGUGAGAAUUUGUUCAAAUACAGCAGCCAUAGGCACAGAAAUAAAGGAAAGAAGCUGCUUACCUUUGGAAGGCUUCAGGUACGCAGGAACCUCCAGCAAGAUACCCACACUUCCAGUGCCAACCCUUAAAUGCGAUCUGGGAAGGGAUGGAUCCUGGCUCCACUCCUUCUAAUCACUUGCACCUGAGCUCCUCUGGGCUGGCCCUGCCCUCCCACCAGGUGCUCAAUCACUGGUUCAAAGCCAUGACUUAGCAAUUCCACUACACUAAUACACUCAGAAUUGACUGAGUGGUGGCCUGUUGUCUGUAAACUAACAUUAGGGUGUAGAAAUAACACCCUUUUGAAGCAUACUGCAAGUUUUGAAUAAAUUUUAAAGGUUUUUCUCUUAUACCAGGUAAUCAGUGUAUUUAUUUCUCUGCCAGCAGCUGCUUAGGCAGGCCCCAUGCUCAAUGGAAAGCUUUUAAAAGGCAUGCUACUGAUCUCCAGCCGCAUUUCUCUGGCAUGUCCUCCCCACUGCAAAGUUUUACUUACUCAGAAAUAAAGUUUCGAUAACUAUACCAAUGGACACCAGGCCCAGAAUCGCCAGUGCUCAACACUGCUAUUUUAAGAAAAGUUCUUGGAGGGGUCUGCACAGGCACUUAGACAAAGCUAAGACUUCAGUUCCUCUCUCUGCCCAGAAGUUCAAUUGUGCACACCUGCCCAAGUGCCUGAAGUGAUGAAGACUCCACACCUGAAAACCCACUUCUCAAAUCCAGCCUCAGCACCGACGCCAGAUUCUGCUCACAAGCAGGCCAAAUUUAAGAACUACAAAUAUCAGCCAAGGAGAGCUGAAUGCCUUUCAUUUAGAACACUGUUAGCAUAUGCUGCCAAAGUUUCUAUCUUCUCAGCAUAUAAAAAUUGCACUGAUUUUUCUGUAGCAAUACAGUGAAAGAUACAGAGUCCAGUGUGUCCACUGAUCUACUGCUCACCUUCUUGCGAGUGCAGACAUGGCUUUGUUCACACAACUGUCUUCAGGCCAGCAUACCACAUCUGUAAGCUCAGUACAGACAACCCCCCAUAGCACUAGUAAUUUUCGUCCAUGGUUGUAGCUGUCAUGCUGUGUAGCUGUACCAGGAAGAUGCCACGUGCUUAUCUAGAACUGCAAUAAGAAUAUGAAAGCCAUGCGUAUCUUAAGCAUAUUAGAGAACCAGGCUGUGUUAUGGGUAAGGAGUCAGAGUGAAUCUAUUCAUGGCCCAUUUCACUAUCUUCCCCUCAAGUUCUUCUUCGAGAAGGAGCAGUUUCUCUUCCUCUCCUUAAUGACAUUUUUCUUUGGACAGAAGUCCAUUGCCCCUCUCCUACCUUGCCCUUUUGCUUAUUUCUUGAAACAAAGAUACAAGUUUCCAGUAAGCCCAGAGCAGAAGGGGCAUGUGUGAGCCCGGCUCGCACUCCUCAACUUCCCGUUUCAGUGCAGAUUCUUGCAGGGCUAUUCUGGGACUGCCAGAGCAGUGCAGCAGAAAAUCAUCAAACAUUCGGGGGAAUCCCCUUCUGUCACUUUUAUUAUUCUGACAAAAAGAUUAGCGAUGAUGUGUCUUCUUAGACACGGUAGGGCAGCAAGGUGUUCUCUAUUUUAAGUAAAGGCAGGAAAUGAGUAAUAGAUUUCCUCUGCAGCCAAACUGGGGCUUCAGCCUGCCUGGCUGAAAGAGCUUUAGCCUCUCAGAUCUCACCUUUACGCUAAAUGAGGAACAGCAGCAAUCCCCACUACUAAAAUUAAAAACCAUUUAUGACCUGUGAAUGGUAUCCUGUACCUCAGUAAGGAGCAGCCUGACCUGGCCAGCUGGGAAAGAGACACAAAGAAGGGUUUACACACAGCGAGGACAAGGCCCCACCACUCUCAUACAGACAGAAAAUAGAAUCAUCUUCGUAAAAGAAUAAAUAAAAAACUAACAACAAUCACAAAACAAGACGCUAAACUACAGAAAUAACCCCAACUUUCAGUUACAGCCCUAAAACGUCAUCUGGACUUUUGGUUUCUGUGUACAUCACGGUGAAUCAUAAUGUAUUGAUAUAUGAAAAAUGGUCACAACUGCAUGAGGAGAGCAUGAUACACAGCUCAUGGUGCCAUGAAAAAUGUUGUUAACAUGGGAUUACAUUCCCACCCUCGGCCUAUUAAUUUCAUCUAAACCACAGAAACAGCUAUCAAGAUUGAUUUUGCUUGCAAGAGUUCCCCUGUGGCAAAGAUUAUUCUUCCAUUGUAUUAUUCUGUGGGAUCUGCUCUUUCAUUAUGAUGGUAGGACUGCACUCAAAACUUACCAAUCAAAUGGUCACAUGCUUGGAUUUUUUUUAUUACUUGUUAUCCAACUCUCUCUUAACAAGUAAAAUGCUUUGAAACAAAUACAUCACGGACAGCAAUGGCUACAGUACACAGUUAACAUGAUUGCAAUGAAAGGAAAGCAAAAAGAUAUGCAGGAGAAUGGAUUGAAGGCAGAGGGAUAGAUCACUAAGAAUACCAAGUCCAUCAUUUGUAUCUUGUUAGGAAAUACACAUAGCUUCUAUGAAAAUCUAACAGGUAAGUACAAAGAAUGUGUCUUCCAGAACAUGGCUGUAAACUCCUCCAGCUAGGACCAGUAUGCUACCCAAAGACCACAGAGGGACCAUAAACCCAAAGCAGCUUGCAACGAGGUGUGCUCAGGGCCGCCACUCUGCACGUGUGUUGAACAGCACUAUCAAGUGCCACAAAGUGUAAGGAAGUUUUCUCUGGUACACUUCUACCAGCAGGUCCAGUUAAGGCAAGGGACAACUUGGAACCUCAAUUCUUACCUACAAGAAGAAGGAAAAAAGACCAAUUUCCCACUUAAUAUGCAGUACCCAAAGUGAAUCAGAUGCAGGCAGCCAUGACUCCCAUCUUAAGAAACCACAGAAGAACAGAAAAUUUAAAAUGUAGAACUCCAUAAAAGGAAUGUACCAUGCUAACAAAAUCAACCAGAAAGGGCACAGGGGAAAUUUAGACGGCGAAGAAGGAAUCUGAAAAGUACAUGUUUGGAGUGGUUAAAAAAAGAAAGAAAAAGGAUAUGCCAGCCUUCAAUUAGAUUUAAAUAUUGAAAACAUUUCCUUUUCCCAAUGACAAAACAAAUUUCAAGAAACGUGUUAGUCUGACCAUCUUGAAUUUAAAAGAAAUUAAAAAGCAGGAAGAAAAAGGAAAACAAUUGAAAAUGUAAAGAAUUGAAAAUUACAAUCUUGCUUAAAAUUUCAACCUCUGGACCUAAAGGAGAGUCCAAAUGCAUUUCAUGAUCAUUUUUCAGAACGCUGAUAUCCAGAGAAGGCAAGGAAGGGUACUCUUUCCUCUGUUAAGUGCAGUUGGCAAAAACAAAUGAAGACAAAAGAAAACAGAGAACUCCUCCCCAUGCAUAAUGGAAGAGGAAAUGGUGAAGAAAUAAGUUGCUUAUUUGGGGACCUGCAUCUUUUGAGCAUCUUUCUGACAGCUGUUGUACUCACCACUAACAUUCAAGACUAACCUCUACUAAGGCAGCGGUAGAUUGCAUAUGGGGCUCAUCGUAAGACUUUCAUGCUGGGGAUUUCCAGGCAUUCAGCCUUUGGCACGGUUCAUCUGCUCCUGAGGUAAAUGAGAGCCAUAGUGUUUUUAAUUCCACAGCAGCAGAGAGAAAGAAUUUUUGUAAAUUCUGGAGGAAAGAAAAGGUUGUGCCUUACAUGGGCACCCCAUCAUACAGAAUUGUUUUCUCAGCUUAAAACAACAGGAAAACGAGGAUGCAUUCUAACGUAUAAUAAUACCCACUAGGCAUACCUUUUAGCCAUACAUGUUUUCUUUUAAUGGUCCUAUUUUCAAACCAUACUUUUGCCAUAACUAGUGGAGGCAGAAAUAUCUUUCAAAUUCAUUAAAGGCAAGAAAGUAAAUUCUGAGAUGAUGUUAUCAAAAGCUGUCACAGCCGAUUUAAUUUUGCUGGCAUGGAGGUCAAUGGAGAUUUCAACACCAACCGCAGACACUGAGGAUUUCAAUGGACGGCAAGGACUUUUUUGAAAAGUAUAUGAAAUACAUUCAGUAGCACCCACCUUUCUCCAAGCAGUCCUACAGGGGUUAGGGAGUUAACAGAGUGCGUUGCCACUCAGUUUGUAUUACAGUAGCACAGCCUGGCUCGGAGCAAAUUAAUACUAAACGAUAAUUCUUGGUUCAGAAUUCAUUAUACAGAAGGUUCAAAAUAAAACAAAAAAGUCUAAACGUAGCCUUUUACAGUUGUGAAUAUUUAAAAUCACAUUUAGUAAAGCUGCAUGGGUUAAAGCAAAUAAUAAUAAUCCCAAUUAAACUAAAUAAAAUUCGUCAGCACGGAAAGAAAACAAAUCCAAACUCCUGACAGCAACAUAAAACCAGAAUUCUGCCCACUCCCUUCAUAAUGGCUCUUCUAUUGAGCUUCAUUCUGACCUUUCAUUACUUUCCCAACAUUGAAGAACAUUGCCUUUCAACACUCAUGUCUUUGCUACCCCCCGCCUUUAUUCCUGCCUCUAUUGUUAAGAGCUAUUAGCUGCUGCUGUUCCGAGGUGCACAGUGGUGUUGUACCUUAAAAGAGGCAAGAACAGCAGUACUUUGAGGGAAAAAAAAGUGUAGAAAUGUUUCCUACUUUCCCUUCUAGAGACCAAAGUUACAUUUGAGUAUAAAAUUAAAUAAUAAAGUAGCUAAAUGAAUAAAUAAUGGUUAAUAAAUACCCCAAGAGACUGAAAGGCAUGAAAUCAAUUUUGUGCUGGAAGGGAUGAAAAAGGACACUUUUAUAUGACUUGACUGAGCUUAAAUAGACAUUGUCCUGAUCCUGUAAUUGUUCCAUGCUCAGAACAUCUAUUGAAUUCAAUGGGAGCUCCAAAACCAGAUCAAUUAGAGGAUCAGAGUUGUUUGGGAAAAGCCUGCCCAUCACUUUGAGAAAACAAACCAGAGAGACACUGAAGAAUGUAAGCCCAUAAGUAGACUAUAAGAUUGAACAAAUGAGGCUAUGCAAAUCCUACACUCCAUAAAGCAGCACACAAGCAACUCUAAUGAUACCUCUUAAAAAUCAAGUCUUGCUCACAGUCAAGAGGGGUUUUCUUGCCAUCUUCAAUGUGAGUAUGAGCUUUAAUGCGAGUAUGACCAGGCUUCAGGAAGAGAAGUCAAGGCACUAACACAACGUUAGGGUUACUAACCAAUUUGCACUACAGGUCUUAGACUCUGGAUCCACACAGAGCAGCCCUUUGCACCACCAGAGAGCCUGUCAGAGCAUAGCUCUGCUCUGAAGCAGAGGUGAAACUAGGGUUCCAAUCCAGGGCAACUCAGAGCAGCAUACAAACAGCAGCACUAUCCAGGCCUGCAGCUGGGUCCUGGUGGACAAAGCACCAUGCUGUCACGCAACCCCGCUGCUCUGGGUUCUGCAGAAGCACAGAGACCUCUCAGUGCACGGCUGAGACCCAUAAUUCCUAAUAAAUACCUUAAAAGCUACUUUAAAAUAAGAAUUGUAAGGGAUCAUUUAUUUUAAAAAGCAUGCAGCUUUUCUGCUUGUCAUUUACAAAUUGCAUCUCAACCCACAUUGUUAAUCCUUUGUCAGUAUUCCCUGGUUCCCUGUUAGUUUUGUGUCAGCUUUACACAGCAGGAGAGCCUCAUGAAGCCUCACCUAGCUUCAUGUGAAGGUCUCAGUGGAACGGCACCCACACAACACAACCUGUACACACUUCAGCACAACACUGAGCAGUCCAAUGUACACUGUGCACUCUAAAGCAGGCUCUAACUUCAGCAGUCAAGAUCACUAUUGACUUUACGAUGACAGUCAUUCCUGCAAACAGAAGCCUAAUAAUAAAAUACGGUGAUGAUAUUUAGCACAUUUAUUUUUUUAACGGCAAUGCAAGUUACCAGGUAGCUCAAAGCUUGUUCAUCUUUAAGUGGCAUAUUCUUAUCAUGUAGAGCAUCAACAGUUCAGCUACACUCUGUAUUUCACACAGCUAUGUGAAACAGAUUUCAAAAAGAUUUCAAGGGGCUCCAUGAAGAGUCAUGCAAGAGCUGAAAAAGGGCCCAUCUAUUCCCCAUCCUCUGGUGAUAACUAGGAGGCCAUACCCAGCAAGCAACUACGGAACAGUCAAACAUAGUAUGUUGUCCAGCAUAGAUUCUCAACUGCUUACAACCUAUAGCUCACAGACUUGGCAAGUGUCCCAAAACAGAGCUUUCCUGCAUCUGAGUAUUUAACAGCCCUGAGGGACUUUUCUUCCAUUCACUUGUUUUAUUGCUUUGUAAUAUAUUCUAUAUCCAUAUCCUCCUGCAGCACAGAGUUUCACAAUUGCAUAAGAAAAAUUCUUGCCCCUACUGGGCUUCAAAGCAGACAACUACAGCUGUGCCAUUAGAGACAGAAUAAAGCCCCAUAAUGGGGUUUCCCCAACGUCUCUUCUUUGUAUGUCAGCCCAAAAGCUGUCACUCACAGCUCCUGCCGGGCAGUUCCUCCCACCACCACCAGCUACGGGCUCCACAUACUCCUCCUCAGCCACUAAGAUGCAGAAAACCAGUUCACACAUGUGGCUGCCUUCCCCAGGAAGUGAAUCCUACAGCCAGAACCUGAGUUUCCAUCCAAUUGACUUCCAAACAAAAAUGUCUCUUCCAGUUACCUCAGACACUAGAAUUAGGAGAAAAAAACUCACAACUAAAGUAUUUUUAAGAAGAUGCUUCGUUUUCACAAUUCCUUCCGUAGGAUCACUGCAAAAUUCCAGUCAGAAAAAGCCCAGCAGGCCACUGGUCCCACCACCUGCUCAAAGCAGGGUCAGCUCAGACCAAAGCAGGGCAAGCAGGGACCCAAAGCAAAAGCCAGUAUAUCCCUGAAAGAGUUUACUCCUUUUGAAGCUCAGUCUCACGUUCUGUCUAAAUCUUUAGGACAGCUACUGAUGCUUGUAUGACAGGGUGCCCCAGUGAGAAGUAAACUAAGCUGCAGCCAGCUCAGUGCUUCGCUCUGGCUCCCCUCACAACCAUCAAGCACUAGAGAGGAGGUGUGACCACCCUACACACCACGACAGCCCGCAGAGAGCCACUCUGAAGUCAUUACACAGGCACUAUUUGAGCCUUCCCUUUUAGUUCACUGAUUCUAAAACAGAUUAGUAGUUGGCAACUAUGUUAAGACAUCGUCGCUUCGUAGACACCUCCCAAUAAAAACAAACCUCAGGAUAACUAAUUCAAGAACCACUUACUAUUCACCGCUACCAUACACAGACUCUUGAAGUAGUCCACAACCAUUCAGUGUUUUCAGCUGAAAAUGUUAGGAAAACAACUCCCAAAACAAGACCAUACCUUGG
RNAcentral lists this long non-coding RNA (7795 nucleotides) under Gallus gallus (chicken). RNAcentral's name for it is "lncRNA (ENSGALG00010014958.1)". Lineage: Eukaryota; Metazoa; Chordata; Aves; Galliformes; Phasianidae. The record is from RNAcentral.